UGUGGGUUAUUGCCAUGCUACUUAACAUUGUCUCCCCAACAACCAAGCUUGACUGUCUU
RNAcentral lists this non-coding RNA (59 nucleotides) under Cervus elaphus hippelaphus. Lineage: Eukaryota; Metazoa; Chordata; Mammalia; Artiodactyla; Cervidae. The record is from RNAcentral.